This is a non-coding RNA of Acanthosepion pharaonis, 87 nucleotides long. NCBI's taxonomy places the organism in Eukaryota, Metazoa, Mollusca, Cephalopoda, Sepiida, Sepiidae. The record is from the annotation of a GenBank genome assembly.
GUUCCCGUACGAUCACUGAUGUUAAGCAACGUCUAGCCUGGUCAGUAACUAGAUGGGUGACCGCUUGGAAAUACCCGGUGCUGUAAA